Molecule: ribosomal RNA, 940 nt
Filed under: Clavibacter michiganensis subsp. insidiosus
Lineage: Bacteria; Bacillati; Actinomycetota; Actinomycetes; Micrococcales; Microbacteriaceae
Description: bacterial SSU rRNA
Rfam family: Bacterial small subunit ribosomal RNA
Source: RNAcentral
CCCGAGGUUGAGCCUCGGGUCUGCAGUGGGUACGGGCAGACUAGAGUGCGGUAGGGGAGAUUGGAAUUCCUGGUGUAGCGGUGGAAUGCGCAGAUAUCAGGAGGAACACCGAUGGCGAAGGCAGAUCUCUGGGCCGUAACUGACGCUGAGGAGCGAAAGCAUGGGGAGCGAACAGGAUUAGAUACCCUGGUAGUCCAUGCCGUAAACGUUGGGAACUAGAUGUGGGGACCAUUCCACGGUCUCCGUGUCGCAGCUAACGCAUUAAGUUCCCCGCCUGGGGAGUACGGCCGCAAGGCUAAAACUCAAAGGAAUUGACGGGGGCCCGCACAAGCGGCGGAGCAUGCGGAUUAAUUCGAUGCAACGCGAAGAACCUUACCAAGGCUUGACAUAUACCGGAAACAUGCAGAGAUGUGUGCCCCGCAAGGUCGGUAUACAGGUGGUGCAUGGUUGUCGUCAGCUCGUGUCGUGAGAUGUUGGGUUAAGUCCCGCAACGAGCGCAACCCUCGUUCUAUGUUGCCAGCACGUAAUGGUGGGAACUCAUAGGAGACUGCCGGGGUCAACUCGGAGGAAGGUGGGGAUGACGUCAAAUCAUCAUGCCCCUUAUGUCUUGGGCUUCACGCAUGCUACAAUGGCCGGUACAAAGGGCUGCGAUACCGUAAGGUGGAGCGAAUCCCAAAAAGCCGGUCUCAGUUCGGAUUGAGGUCUGCAACUCGACCUCAUGAAGUCGGAGUCGCUAGUAAUCGCAGAUCAGCAACGCUGCGGUGAAUACGUUCCCGGGCCUUGUACACACCGCCCGUCAAGUCAUGAAAGUCGGUAACACCCGAAGCCAGUGGCCUAACCGCAAGGGAGGAGCUGUCGAAGGUGGGAUCGGUGAUUAGGACUAAGUCGUAACAAGGUAGCCGUACCGGAAGGUGCGGCUGGAUCACCUCCUUUCUAAGGA